This 435-nucleotide ribosomal RNA is filed under the name uncultured Lachnospiraceae bacterium. Its description in RNAcentral is "bacterial SSU rRNA". It matches the Rfam family "Bacterial small subunit ribosomal RNA", at positions 341 to 792 of the family's 1533-position model. Lineage: Bacteria; Bacillati; Bacillota; Clostridia; Lachnospirales; Lachnospiraceae. The record is from RNAcentral.
ACGGGAGGCAGCAGUCGGGAAUAUUGCACAAUGGGGGAAACCCUGAUGCAGCGACGCCGCGUGAGUGAUGAAGUAUUUCGGUACGUAAAGCUCUAUCAGCAGGGAAGAUAAUGACGGUACCUGACUAAGAAGCCCCGGCUAACUACGUGCCAGCAGCCGCGGUAAUACGUAGGGGGCAAGCGUUAUCCGGAUUUACUGGGUGUAAAGGGAGUGUAGGUGGUCUGGCAAGCCAGAUGUGAAAGCCCGGGGCUCAACCCCGAGGACUGCAUUUGGAACUGUCGGACUUGAGUGCAGGAGAGGAAAGUGGAAUUCCUAGUGUAGCGGUGAAAUGCGUAGAUAUUAGGAGGAACACCAGUGGCGAAGGCGGCUUUCUGGACUGUAACUGACACUGAGGCUCGAAAGCGUGGGGAGCAAACAGGAUUAGAUACCCUGGUA